AGGUUAAUAUUUGAUGUACGUGUAGCCAAUACACAUAUGAAGUCUUGUGACCUUCAAACUAGCACUUGAGGUAAGCAAAGAGUUGUAUUAUGUUGUUUUAUAAUUUGGUUAGUUAUUUGCUUAUUUUGCUUACUUUGCGUUGCUGAGUUGCUGCAUGUAGAUAUUUUAAUGUUUUACCGUUUUGCUUAGUUUAUUACUAUUUAUGGAAUUCAUGUAGAAUACAUUAUUUACAUGGUAAUAGAAUAUUUAUUGCAAUUAAGUUUAUGAAAUGCAUAAACUCAUACAUGUAAGACGCAAGUUUAUGUUGAGUCUUUGAGACAGAAUUAUAGAUGUGAAAGAGAAUAUUAUUUUACUUAGAAUGUUAUACAGUGCAAUGUACUUGUUCAUAAACAUGUCAGAGUUAUCCAUCUUUGCACCUGUAUUUAUAGUAUUUUAUAAUUAUGUUUUGUAGGGUCUUUAUACGAGACAACUGAUUACUAAGACCUUUAAUAAAGAAUCCAUAUAUGUUUACAACCGAGUUUUUAUGAUGUCCAUUUCCACCCGGUUUCAGACACAUAUCAACCUGUACCAUUAUCUGAAACGAACUUCCGACCACUGGACACUGAUCAACCUGUACCAUUAUAUGCAACGAACUUCCGACCACUGGACACUGAUCAACCUGUACCAUUAUCUGCUACGAACUUCCGACCACUGGACACUGAUCAAUCUGUACCAUUAUAUGCAACGAACUUCCGACCACUAGACACUGAUCAACCUGUACCAUAAUAUGUAAUGAACCUACCGACCACUGGACACUGAUCAACCUGUACCAUUAUCUGCAACGAACUUCCGACCACUGGACACUGGUUAACCUAUACCAUUAUCUGCAACGAACUUCUGACCACUGGACACUGAUCAACCUGUACCAUUAUAUGUUAAUGAACAUACCACCCACUGGACACUGAUCAGCCUAUUCAGUUAUAUGUUAUAAACCUACCGACCACUGGACACUGGUCAACAUGUACCAUUUUAUGAAAUAAACAUACAAACCACUGGACACUGAUCAACCUGUACCAUUAUAUGUAAUGAACAUAUACACUAGCU
Molecule: long non-coding RNA, 1083 nt
Filed under: Mytilus galloprovincialis (Mediterranean mussel)
Lineage: Eukaryota; Metazoa; Mollusca; Bivalvia; Mytilida; Mytilidae
Source: RNAcentral